This 2903-nucleotide ribosomal RNA is filed under the name Klebsiella pneumoniae. RNAcentral's name for it is "23S ribosomal RNA". It matches the Rfam family "Bacterial large subunit ribosomal RNA". The record is from RNAcentral. Lineage: Bacteria; Pseudomonadati; Pseudomonadota; Gammaproteobacteria; Enterobacterales; Enterobacteriaceae.
UUAAGCGACUAAGCGUACACGGUGGAUGCCCUGGCAGUCAGAGGCGAUGAAGGACGUGCUAAUCUGCGAAAAGCGUCGGUAAGGUGAUAUGAACCGUUACAGCCGGCGAUGUCCGAAUGGGGAAACCCAGUGCAAUUCGUUGCACUAUCGUUAACUGAAUACAUAGGUUAACGAGGCGAACCGGGGGAACUGAAACAUCUAAGUACCCCGAGGAAAAGAAAUCAACCGAGAUUCCCCCAGUAGCGGCGAGCGAACGGGGAGCAGCCCAGAGUCUGAAUCAGCUUGUGUGUUAGUGGAACGGUCUGGAAAGUCCGACGGUACAGGGUGAUAGUCCCGUACACCAAAAUGCACAGGCUGUGAACUCGAAGAGUAGGGCGGGACACGUGGUAUCCUGUCUGAAUAUGGGGGGACCAUCCUCCAAGGCUAAAUACUCCUGACUGACCGAUAGUGAACCAGUACCGUGAGGGAAAGGCGAAAAGAACCCCGGCGAGGGGAGUGAAAAAGAACCUGAAACCGUGUACGUACAAGCAGUGGGAGCACCUUCGGGUGUGACUGCGUACCUUUUGUAUAAUGGGUCAGCGACUUAUAUUCUGUAGCAAGGUUAACCGUAUAGGGGAGCCGCAGGGAAACCGAGUCUUAACUGGGCGUUAAGUUGCAGGGUAUAGACCCGAAACCCGGUGAUCUAGCCAUGGGCAGGUUGAAGGUUGGGUAACACUAACUGGAGGACCGAACCGACUAAUGUUGAAAAAUUAGCGGAUGACUUGUGGCUGGGGGUGAAAGGCCAAUCAAACCGGGAGAUAGCUGGUUCUCCCCGAAAGCUAUUUAGGUAGCGCCUCGUGAAUUCAUCUUCGGGGGUAGAGCACUGUUUCGGCUAGGGGGUCAUCCCGACUUACCAACCCGAUGCAAACUACGAAUACCGAAGAAUGUUAUCACGGGAGACACACGGCGGGUGCUAACGUCCGUCGUGAAGAGGGAAACAACCCAGACCGCCAGCUAAGGUCCCAAAGUCACAGUUAAGUGGGAAACGAUGUGGGAAGGCACAGACAGCCAGGAUGUUGGCUUAGAAGCAGCCAUCAUUUAAAGAAAGCGUAAUAGCUCACUGGUCGAGUCGGCCUGCGCGGAAGAUGUAACGGGGCUAAACUGUGCACCGAAGCUGCGGCAGCGACACUUAGGUGUUGUUGGGUAGGGGAGCGUUCUGUAAGCCUGCGAAGGUGGCCUGUGAGGGUUGCUGGAGGUAUCAGAAGUGCGAAUGCUGACAUAAGUAACGAUAAUGCGGGUGAAAAGCCCGCACGCCGGAAGACCAAGGGUUCCUGUCCAACGUUAAUCGGGGCAGGGUGAGUCGACCCCUAAGGCGAGGCCGAAAGGCGUAGUCGAUGGGAAACAGGUUAAUAUUCCUGUACUUGGUGUUACUGCGAAGGGGGGACGGAGAAGGCUAUGUUAGCCGGGCGACGGUUGUCCCGGUUUAAGCAUGUAGGCGGAGGUUCCAGGUAAAUCCGGUACCUUAUUAACGCUGAGGUGUGAUGACGAGGCACUACGGUGCUGAAGUAACAAAUGCCCUGCUUCCAGGAAAAGCCUCUAAGCAUCAGGUAACAUUAAAUCGUACCCCAAACCGACACAGGUGGUCAGGUAGAGAAUACCAAGGCGCUUGAGAGAACUCGGGUGAAGGAACUAGGCAAAAUGGUGCCGUAACUUCGGGAGAAGGCACGCUGGUGUGUAGGUGAAGCCCCUGCGGGUGGAGCUGAGACCAGUCGAAGAUACCAGCUGGCUGCAACUGUUUAUUAAAAACACAGCACUGUGCAAACACGAAAGUGGACGUAUACGGUGUGACGCCUGCCCGGUGCCGGAAGGUUAAUUGAUGGGGUUAUCCGUAAGGAGAAGCUCUUGAUCGAAGCCCCGGUAAACGGCGGCCGUAACUAUAACGGUCCUAAGGUAGCGAAAUUCCUUGUCGGGUAAGUUCCGACCUGCACGAAUGGCGUAAUGAUGGCCAGGCUGUCUCCACCCGAGACUCAGUGAAAUUGAACUCGCUGUGAAGAUGCAGUGUACCCGCGGCAAGACGGAAAGACCCCGUGAACCUUUACUAUAGCUUGACACUGAACAUUGAGCCUUGAUGUGUAGGAUAGGUGGGAGGCUUUGAAGCGUGGACGCCAGUCUGCGUGGAGCCAACCUUGAAAUACCACCCUUUAAUGUUUGAUGUUCUAACGUUGGCCCCUGACCGGGGUUGCGGACAGUGUCUGGUGGGUAGUUUGACUGGGGCGGUCUCCUCCCAAAGCGUAACGGAGGAGCACGAAGGUUAGCUAAUCCUGGUCGGACAUCAGGAGGUUAGUGCAAUGGCAUAAGCUAGCUUGACUGCGAGCGUGACGGCGCGAGCAGGUGCGAAAGCAGGUCAUAGUGAUCCGGUGGUUCUGAAUGGAAGGGCCAUCGCUCAACGGAUAAAAGGUACUCCGGGGAUAACAGGCUGAUACCGCCCAAGAGUUCAUAUCGACGGCGGUGUUUGGCACCUCGAUGUCGGCUCAUCACAUCCUGGGGCUGAAGUAGGUCCCAAGGGUAUGGCUGUUCGCCAUUUAAAGUGGUACGCGAGCUGGGUUUAGAACGUCGUGAGACAGUUCGGUCCCUAUCUGCCGUGGGCGCUGGAGAAUUGAGGGGGGCUGCUCCUAGUACGAGAGGACCGGAGUGGACGCAUCACUGGUGUUCGGGUUGUCAUGCCAAUGGCAUUGCCCGGUAGCUAAAUGCGGAAGAGAUAAGUGCUGAAAGCAUCUAAGCACGAAACUUGCCCCGAGAUGAGUUCUCCCUGAGACUUUAAGUCUCCUGAAGGAACGUUAAAGACGAUGACGUUGAUAGGUCGGGUGUGUAAGCGUAGCGAUACGUUGAGCUAACCGAUACUAAUGAACCGUGAGGCUUAACCU